AUGGACGUCCUUCGCUGGCCCGGCGGAGCGCGCGUGAACCUCUGGCUCCGCCGGGCGAUGGAGCUGGUGGUGAAAUCCCUGCACCUUUCCAUCUCGCUGCCGCUGUGGAGCGACCAGAUCCCCAAGGACUGCAAGGUGCGGCUGCCUCGCUGCACGAGGGCGGCGGAGAUGCUGCUCGACCUAGACUACGCCAUCCUCAGGCUCCCGGCCGUGGUAGAGUUCAACGCGCUGACUGACCUGUCCCUCCGUGUCAUAUCACUCUCGCGAGGAGACGGCCGCCGCCUCGGCCGCCUCCUGUCGUCGACGUGCUGCCCGAGGCUGCAGAAGCUGGAACUCUUUUACGUGUGCGGGCUGCGGGAGCUGCAGCUCGACGCGAGAGCGCUAGAGACCCUGACGCUGUACGAGCUCGCCGACCUGAGGCGGCUGGACCUGGACACGCCGCGGCUUUCUUCCUUGGAGGUCGGUAGCUCGGUGCUGCGCCGCGAUCCCUCCAACUUCACCAUCCGGGCGCCGGCGCUGGAGCAGCUUCAGUGCUCCCUCAUGCCCUAUCCACGAGAGAUCGAGAUUCAGUAUAGGUUCAACAUCCAACUGCUGCAAAGUUGCACCUCCGUCCGUCGCCACAUCGUCGAGCUCCAUGUUCCACAGGAUAUGGACCUAAAUGAAGGAGACAAUGUAAUGGUAGAAAUACCACCAGUCCCUCAUGUCACAAAUCUGAAACUGGAUUUCCGGCCACGGAACAACCAUAUUUUUGGAGCAUGUGUAUCUAGCAUCCUUGCGCGAUACAGCAAUCUUCAACACCUCAGCCUAGGCAUCAGCAAAUUUUACCUUGAUCGGUGUGGGGAGGGGUGCUGCAUAUGCGGACGUGUAGGGAGCUGGAAGGAGGACAAGAUCUCACUAGAUCAUCUUCACGAGGUGGAGUUCAGUGGCUUCUCUGGACAGGAGUGCCAUGACAUGGCACACUUGUUAAUCCUGAAUUCACAAGCGCUCCAGAGAAUGACUGUGAUUGUUGAGGCAUCUAGAGAGAUCUCAUGUGACGAUAGUUUAGAUGAUGAAAGCCCACCGCAGCAGAGAACGACCAUGGAUACAUCGAUGUUGACGCUUCCACGCCCUAGAGGGAAGUGGAGCUCACGCGCUCCGGCUAAUGAGGCAACAUUAGAGUAUGAGUGGACGCCAGAGCCAUGA
Molecule: ribosomal RNA, 1182 nt
Filed under: Triticum aestivum (bread wheat)
Lineage: Eukaryota; Viridiplantae; Streptophyta; Magnoliopsida; Poales; Poaceae
Description: partial small subunit ribosomal RNA
Source: RNAcentral